CCUGAUUGAUUCUGUCAGCGCGAUAUGCUCAAGUAAAAGAUUAAGCCAUGCAUGCUUUGAUUCAUCAAUGAAAUUGCGUACGGCUCAUUAGAGCAGAUAUCACCUUGUUCGGAAUAUUAUAUGGAUAACUGCGGAAAUACUGGAGCUAAUACAUGUCAUACAUCCCCAACGUAAGGCGGGGUGCAAUUAUUAGAACAGACCAAACGUUUUCGGACGUUGUUUGUUGACUCUGAAUAAAGCAGUUUACUGUCAGUUUCGACUGACUCUAUCCGAAAAGGGUGUCUGCCCUUUCAACUAGAUGGUAGUUUAUUGGACUACCAUGGUUGUUACGGGUAACGGAGAAUAAGGGUUCGACUCCGGAGAGGGAGCCUUAGAAACGGCUACCACGUCCAAGGAAGGCAGCAGGCGCGAAACUUAUCCACUGUUGAGUAUGAGAUAGUGACUAAAAAUAUAAAGACUCAUCCUUUUGGAUGAGUUAUUUCAAUGAGUUGAAUACAAAUGAUUCUUCGAGUAGCAAGGAGAGGGCAAGUCUGGUGCCAGCAGCCGCGGUAAUUCCAGCUCUCCUAGUGUAUCUCGUUAUUGCUGCGGUUAAAAAGCUCGUAGUUGGAUCUAGGUUACGUGCUGCAGUUCGCAAUUUGCGUCAACUGUAGUCGUGACUUCUAAUUUGCUGGUUUGAGGUUGGGUUCGCCCUUCAACUGCCAGCAGGUUUACCUUGAAUAAAUCAGAGUGCUCAAAACAAGUGUUUGCUUGAAUAGCUCAUCAUGGAAUAAUGAAACAGGACUUCGGUUCUUUUUGUUGGUUCUAGAACUGAUUUAAUGGUUAAGAGGGACAAACCGGGGGCAUUCGUAUCAUUACGCGAGAGGUGAAAUUCGUGGACCGUAGUGAGACGCCCAACAGCGAAAGCAUUUGCCAAGAAUGUCUUCAUUAAUCAAGAACGAAAGUCAGAGGUUCGAAGGCGAUUAGAUACCGCCCUAGUUCUGACCGUAAACGAUGCCAUCUCGCGAUUCGGAGGGUUUUUGCCCUGCCGAGGAGCUAUCCGGAAACGAAAGUCUUUCGGUUCCGGGGGUAGUAUGGUUGCAAAGCUGAAACUUAAAGAAAUUGACGGAAGGGCACCACAAGGCGUGGAGCUUGCGGCUUAAUUUGACUCAACACGGGAAAACUCACCCGGUCCGGACACCAUUAGGACUGACAGAUUGAAAGCUCUUUCUCGAUUUGGUGGUUGGUGGUGCAUGGCCGUUCUUAGUUGGUGGAGUGAUUUGUCUGGUUUAUUCCGAUAACGAGCGAGACUCUAGCCUGCUAAAUAGUUGGCGAAUCUUCGGGUUCGUAUAACUUCUUAGAGGGAUAAGCGGUGUUUAGCCGCACGAGAUUGAGCGAUAACAGGU
Molecule: ribosomal RNA, 1382 nt
Filed under: Caenorhabditis elegans
Lineage: Eukaryota; Metazoa; Nematoda; Chromadorea; Rhabditida; Rhabditidae
Also listed under: 1 other name
Description: SSU rRNA
Rfam family: Eukaryotic small subunit ribosomal RNA
Source: RNAcentral